GAUGAACGCUGGCGGCGUGCCUAACACAUGCAAGUCGAGCGGAGAUUAGAGAACGUGGCUUGCCACAAAUUUAAUCUUAGCGGCGGACGGGUGAGUAACGCGUGGGUAACCUGCCUUGUACAGAGGGAUAACACCGGGAAACUGGUGCUAAUACCGCAUAAUAUUAUCGGAUAGCAUUAUCUGAUAAUCAAAGGAGAAAUCCGGUACAAGAUGGACCCGCGUCCGAUUAGCUAGUUGGAGAGGUAAUGGCUCACCAAGGCGACGAUCGGUAGCCGAACUGAGAGGUUGAUCGGCCACAUUGGGACUGAGACACGGCCCAGACUCCUACGGGAGGCAGCAGUGGGGAAUAUUGCGCAAUGGGGGAAACCCUGACGCAGCAACGCCGCGUGAAGGAUGAAGGCUUUCGGGUUGUAAACUUCUUUGAUUGGGGAAGAAAAAAA
This 440-nucleotide ribosomal RNA is filed under the name uncultured Oscillospiraceae bacterium. Its description in RNAcentral is "bacterial SSU rRNA". It matches the Rfam family "Bacterial small subunit ribosomal RNA", at positions 28 to 454 of the family's 1533-position model. Lineage: Bacteria; Bacillati; Bacillota; Clostridia; Eubacteriales; Oscillospiraceae. The record is from RNAcentral.